AUUGAACGCUGGCGGCAGGCCUAACACAUGCCAGUCGAGCGGAUGAAGGGAGCUUGCUCCUGGAUUCAGCGGCGGACGGGUGAGUAAUGCCUAGGAAUCUGCCUGGUAGUGGGGGAUAACGUCCGGAAACGGGCGCUAAUACCGCAUACGUCCUGAGGGAGAAAGUGGGGGAUCUUCGGACCUCACGCUAUCAGAUGAGCCUAGGUCGGAUUAGCUAGUUGGUGGGGUAAAGGCCUACCAAGGCGACGAUCCGUAACUGGUCUGAGAGGAUGAUCAGUCACACUGGAACUGAGACACGGUCCAGACUCCUACGGGAGGCAGCAGUGGGGAAUAUUGGACAAUGGGCGAAUGCCUGAUCCAGCCAUGCCGCGUGUGUGAAGAAGGUCUUCGGAUUGUAAAGCACUUUAAGUUGGGAGGAAGGGCAGUAAGUUAAUACCUUGCUGUUUUGACGUUACCAACAGAAUAAGCACCGGCUAACUUCGUG
This 484-nucleotide ribosomal RNA is filed under the name uncultured bacterium. RNAcentral describes it as "partial 16S ribosomal RNA". It matches the Rfam family "Bacterial small subunit ribosomal RNA", at positions 30 to 507 of the family's 1533-position model. The record is from RNAcentral.